RNAcentral lists this ribosomal RNA (871 nucleotides) under uncultured bacterium. RNAcentral's name for it is "bacterial SSU rRNA". It matches the Rfam family "Bacterial small subunit ribosomal RNA", at positions 26 to 901 of the family's 1533-position model. The record is from RNAcentral.
AGGAUGACCGCUAGCGGGAGGCUUAACACAUGCAAGUCGAGGGGUAUAAGUAGCAAUAUUUAGAGACCGGCGCACGGGUGAGUAACGCGUAUGCAACCUGCCCUUUACAGGGGGAUAGCCCGUAGAAAUGCGGAUUAAUACCCCAUAGUACUAUUGGAUCGCAUGGUUUGAUAGUUAAAGUUUCGGCGGUAAAGGAUGGGCAUGCGUGACAUUAGCUAGUUGGUGAGGUAACGGCUCACCGAGGCUACGAUGUCUAGGGGUUCUGAGAGGAAGAUCCCCCACACUGGUACUGAGACACGGACCAGACUCCUACGGGAGGCAGCAGUGAGGAAUAUUGGUCAAUGGGCGAGAGCCUGAACCAGCCAUCCCGCGUGCAGGAAGAAUGCCCUAUGGGUUGUAAACUGCUUUUUCGCAUGAAGAACACUCCCGACGUGUCGGGAGCUGACGGUAAUGCGUGAAUAAGCACCGGCUAACUCCGUGCCAGCAGCCGCGGUAAUACGGAGGGUGCAAGCGUUAUCCGGAUUUAUUGGGUUUAAAGGGUGCGUAGGCGGUGAUUUAAGUCAGUGGUGAAAUCCUGCAGCUCAACUGUAGAACAGCCAUUGAAACUGAAUUACUUGAGUAAUCUUGAGGUAGGCGGAAUGUGUAGUGUAGCGGUGAAAUGCUUAGAUAUUACACAGAACACCGAUUGCGAAGGCAGCUUACUAAGGAUUUACUGACGCUGAUGCACGAAAGCGUGGGGAUCAAACAGGAUUAGAUACCCUGGUAGUCCACGCCGUAAACGAUGAUAACUCGCUGUUGGCGAUAUACAGUCAGCGGCUUAGCGAAAGCGUUAAGUUAUCCACCUGGGGAGUACGCUCGCAAGAGUGAAACU